This 2931-nucleotide ribosomal RNA is filed under the name Enterobacter cloacae. RNAcentral's name for it is "23S ribosomal RNA". It matches the Rfam family "Bacterial large subunit ribosomal RNA". The record is from RNAcentral. Lineage: Bacteria; Pseudomonadati; Pseudomonadota; Gammaproteobacteria; Enterobacterales; Enterobacteriaceae.
GGGUUGUGAGGUUAAGCGACUAAGCGUACACGGUGGAUGCCCUGGCAGUCAGAGGCGAUGAAGGACGUGCUAAUCUGCGAAAAGCGCCGGCGAGGUGAUAUGAACCUUUGACCCGGCGAUGUCCGAAUGGGGAAACCCAGUGCAAUCCGUUGCACUAUCGUUAACUGAAUACAUAGGUUAACGAGGCGAACCGGGGGAACUGAAACAUCUAAGUACCCCGAGGAAAAGAAAUCAACCGAGAUUCCCCCAGUAGCGGCGAGCGAACGGGGAGCAGCCCGGAGUCUGAAUCAGCUUGUGUGUUAGUGGAACGGUCUGGAAAGUCCGACGGUACAGGGUGAUAGUCCCGUACACGAAAGCACACAUGCUGUGAACUCGAAGAGUAGGGCGGGACACGUGGUAUCCUGUCUGAAUAUGGGGGGACCAUCCUCCAAGGCUAAAUACUCCUGACUGACCGAUAGUGAACCAGUACCGUGAGGGAAAGGCGAAAAGAACCCCGGCGAGGGGAGUGAAAAAGAACCUGAAACCGUGUACGUACAAGCAGUGGGAGCCUCUUUAUGGGGUGACUGCGUACCUUUUGUAUAAUGGGUCAGCGACUUAUAUUCUGUAGCAAGGUUAACCGUAUAGGGGAGCCGAAGGGAAACCGAGUCUUAACUGGGCGUUAAGUUGCAGGGUAUAGACCCGAAACCCGGUGAUCUAGCCAUGGGCAGGUUGAAGGUUGGGUAACACUAACUGGAGGACCGAACCGACUAAUGUUGAAAAAUUAGCGGAUGACCUGUGGCUGGGGGUGAAAGGCCAAUCAAACCGGGAGAUAGCUGGUUCUCCCCGAAAGCUAUUUAGGUAGCGCCUCGUGAACUCAUCUUCGGGGGUAGAGCACUGUUUCGGCUAGGGGGCCAUCCCGGCUUACCAACCCGAUGCAAACUACGAAUACCGAAGAAUGUUAUCACGGGAGACACACGGCGGGUGCUAACGUCCGUCGUGAAGAGGGAAACAACCCAGACCGCCAGCUAAGGUCCCAAAGUCAUGGUUAAGUGGGAAACGAUGUGGGAAGGCACAGACAGCCAGGAUGUUGGCUUAGAAGCAGCCAUCAUUUAAAGAAAGCGUAAUAGCUCACUGGUCGAGUCGGCCUGCGCGGAAGAUGUAACGGGGCUAAACCAUGCACCGAAGCUGCGGCAGCGACACUAUGUGUUGUUGGGUAGGGGAGCGUUCUGUAAGCCGUUGAAGGUGUGCUGUGAGGCAUGCUGGAGGUAUCAGAAGUGCGAAUGCUGACAUAAGUAACGAUAAAGCGGGUGAAAAGCCCGCUCGCCGGAAGACCAAGGGUUCCUGUCCAACGUUAAUCGGGGCAGGGUGAGUCGACCCCUAAGGCGAGGCCGAAAGGCGUAGUCGAUGGGAAACAGGUUAAUAUUCCUGUACUUGGUGUUACUGCGAAGGGGGGACGGAGAAGGCUAUGUCAGCCGGGCGACGGUUGUCCCGGUUUAAGCAUGUAGGCGGAGGUUCCAGGUAAAUCCGGUACCUUGUUAACGCUGAGGUGUGAUGACGAGGCACUACGGUGCUGAAGUGAUAAAUGCCCUGCUUCCAGGAAAAGCCUCUAAGCAUCAGGUAACACGAAAUCGUACCCCAAACCGACACAGGUGGUCAGGUAGAGAAUACCAAGGCGCUUGAGAGAACUCGGGUGAAGGAACUAGGCAAAAUGGUGCCGUAACUUCGGGAGAAGGCACGCUGAUAUGUAGGUGAAGCCCCUGCGGGCGGAGCUGAAAUCAGUCGAAGAUACCAGCUGGCUGCAACUGUUUAUUAAAAACACAGCACUGUGCAAACACGAAAGUGGACGUAUACGGUGUGACGCCUGCCCGGUGCCGGAAGGUUAAUUGAUGGGGUUAGCGGCAACGCGAAGCUCUUGAUCGAAGCCCCGGUAAACGGCGGCCGUAACUAUAACGGUCCUAAGGUAGCGAAAUUCCUUGUCGGGUAAGUUCCGACCUGCACGAAUGGCGUAAUGAUGGCCAGGCUGUCUCCACCCGAGACUCAGUGAAAUUGAACUCGCUGUGAAGAUGCAGUGUACCCGCGGCAAGACGGAAAGACCCCGUGAACCUUUACUAUAGCUUGACACUGAACACUGGUCCUUGAUGUGUAGGAUAGGUGGGAGGCUUUGAAGCGUGGACGCCAGUCUGCGUGGAGCCAACCUUGAAAUACCACCCUUUAAUGGCUGGUGUUCUAACGUAGACCCGUAAUCCGGGUUGCGGACAGUGUCUGGUGGGUAGUUUGACUGGGGCGGUCUCCUCCCAAAGAGUAACGGAGGAGCACGAAGGUUGGCUAAUCCUGGUCGGACAUCAGGAGGUUAGUGCAAUGGCAUAAGCCAGCUUGACUGCGAGCGUGACGGCGCGAGCAGGUGCGAAAGCAGGUCAUAGUGAUCCGGUGGUUCUGAAUGGAAGGGCCAUCGCUCAACGGAUAAAAGGUACUCCGGGGAUAACAGGCUGAUACCGCCCAAGAGUUCAUAUCGACGGCGGUGUUUGGCACCUCGAUGUCGGCUCAUCACAUCCUGGGGCUGAAGUAGGUCCCAAGGGUAUGGCUGUUCGCCAUUUAAAGUGGUACGCGAGCUGGGUUUAGAACGUCGUGAGACAGUUCGGUCCCUAUCUGCCGUGGGCGCUGGAGAAUUGAGGGGGGCUGCUCCUAGUACGAGAGGACCGGAGUGGACGCAUCACUGGUGUUCGGGUUGUCAUGCCAAUGGCACUGCCCGGUAGCUAAAUGCGGAAAAGAUAAGUGCUGAAAGCAUCUAAGCACGAAACUUGCCCCGAGAUGAGUUCUCCCUGAGACUUUAAGUCUCCUGAAGGAACGUUGAAGACGACGACGUUGAUAGGUCGGGUGUGUAAGCGCAGCGAUGCGUUGAGCUAACCGAUACUAAUGAACCGUGAGGCUUAACCUUACAACGCCGAAGCUGUU